Molecule: unclassified non-coding RNA, 257 nt
Filed under: uncultured fungus
Lineage: Eukaryota; Fungi
Description: sequence contains ITS2
Source: RNAcentral
AACGCAUAUUGCGCCCUUUGGCAUUCCGAAGGGCAUGCCUGUUCGAGCGUCAUUAUCAACCCUCAAGCUUAGCUUGUUAUUGGAUGAAAUUUUCUACAAACGAUAAUUCAUCCCAAAGACAAUGGCGGUGUCUUUUGACCCUUGAUGCAACGAGCUUUUCAAAAGCACGCAUUUAAAGUGGUUAAUUGAUUCUUGACCUUUUUCAAAUAUUUUUUAAGGUUGACCUCGGAUCAGGUAGGAAUACCCGCUGAACUUAA